RNAcentral lists this small RNA (29 nucleotides) under Bombyx mori (domestic silkworm). RNAcentral describes it as "ovarian small RNA-13060". Lineage: Eukaryota; Metazoa; Arthropoda; Insecta; Lepidoptera; Bombycidae. The record is from RNAcentral.
CACUCGUUUAAUAUUGAACCAUCAAUGAG